GUUGCUGUUUGCGGUGGUCUAGGGAGGAAGAAGUUGACACACCUGGUAACGGCUGCUGUCAGCCUUACACAUCCCGGGACUCCCAUGGUGCUUUCGAGAAGGGGUUAUUCACAAUAUAAACAGGUAUCCAGCAUUGAGGACCUGCCCACUCCAAUGGAAAACCCUUAUAAAGAAUCUCUUAAGAAGUGUGUCUUGUGUGGAAAGCAUGUAAAUUAUAAGAAUGCACAGCUUUUGUCCCAGUUUGUUUCUCCAUUUACUGGAUGCAUUUAUGGAAGGCACGUUACAGGUCUUUGUGGGAAGAAACAGAAAGAAAUCACAAAAGCAAUUAAGAGAGCUCAAAUAAUGGGGUUUAUGCCAGUUACAUACAAAGAUCCUGCAUAUCUCAAGGACCCUAAAGUUUGUAACAUCAGAUAUCAGGAAUAA
Molecule: long non-coding RNA, 423 nt
Filed under: Homo sapiens (human)
Lineage: Eukaryota; Metazoa; Chordata; Mammalia; Primates; Hominidae
Description: non-protein coding lnc-RIBC1-6:1
Source: RNAcentral